This 638-nucleotide ribosomal RNA is filed under the name uncultured bacterium. RNAcentral's name for it is "bacterial SSU rRNA". It matches the Rfam family "Bacterial small subunit ribosomal RNA", at positions 105 to 741 of the family's 1533-position model. The record is from RNAcentral.
GGUGAGUAACACGUAUCCAACCUGCCGUCUACUCUUGGACAGCCUUCUGAAAGGAAGAUUAAUACAAGAUGGCAUCAUGAGUCCGCAUGUUCACAUGAUUAAAGGUAUUCCGGUAGACGAUGGGGAUGCGUUCCAUUAGAUAGUAGGCGGGGUAACGGCCCACCUAGUCUUCGAUGGAUAGGGGUUCUGAGAGGAAGGUCCCCCACAUUGGAACUGAGACACGGUCCAAACUCCUACGGGAGGCAGCAGUGAGGAAUAUUGGUCAAUGGACGAGAGUCUGAACCAGCCAAGUAGCGUGAAGGAUGAAGGUCCUACGGAUUGUAAACUUCUUUUAUAAGGGAAUAAACCCUCCCACGUGUGGGAGCUUGUAUGUACCUUAUGAAUAAGCAUCGGCUAACUCCGUGCCAGCAGCCGCGGUAAUACGGAGGAUGCGAGCGUUAUCCGGAUUUAUUGGGUUUAAAGGGAGCGCAGACGGGUCGUUAAGUCAGCUGUGAAAGUUUGGGGCUCAACCUUAAAAUUGCAGUUGAUACUGGCGUCCUUGAGUGCGGUUGAGGUGUGCGGAAUUCGUGGUGUAGCGGUGAAAUGCUUAGAUAUCACGAAGAACUCCGAUUGCGAAGGCAGCACACUAAUCCGUAACU